RNAcentral lists this ribosomal RNA (253 nucleotides) under uncultured bacterium. Its description in RNAcentral is "partial 16S ribosomal RNA". It matches the Rfam family "Bacterial small subunit ribosomal RNA", at positions 524 to 776 of the family's 1533-position model. The record is from RNAcentral.
GACAUAGGGUGCAAACGUUGUUCGGAAUUACUGGGCGUAAAGCGCGUGUAGGCGGCAUGACAAGUCGGAUGUGAAAGCCCUGGGCUCAACCCAGGAAGUGCAUUCGAUACUGCCGUGCUAGAGUCCCGGAGAGGGUGGUGGAACUCUCGGUGUAGAGGUGAAAUUCGUAGAUAUCGAGAAGAACACCGGUGGCGAAGGCGGCCACCUGGACGGUGACUGACGCUGAGACGCGAAAGCGUGGGGAGCAAACAGG